UCUUAGCAUAUUAAUUAGGGGAGGAAAAGAAACUAACAAGGCCUUUCUUAGUAGCGGCGAGCGAAAAGAAAACAGUUCAGCACUAAGUCACUUUGUCUAUAUGGCAAAUGUGAGAUGCAGUGUAUGGAGCGUCAAUAUUCUAGUAUGAGAAAUUAAUGAUUUAAGUCCUUCUUAAAUGAGGCCAUUUACCCAUAGAGGGUGCCAGGCCCGUAUAACGUUAAUGAUUGCUAGAUGAUGUUUCCAAAGAGUCGUGUUGCUUGAUAGUGCAGCACUAAGUGGGUGGUAAACUCCAUCUAAAACUAAAUAUAACCAUGAGACCGAUAGUAAACAAGUACCGUGAGGGAAAGUUGAAAAGAACUCUGAAUAGAGAGUUAAACAGUACGUGAAACUGCUUAGAGGUUAAGCCCGAUGAACCUGAAUAUCCGUUAUGGAAAAUUCAUCAUUAAAAUUGUAAUAUUUAAAUAAUAUUAUUAAGAAUAAUGUGCAUUUUUUCCAUAUAAGGACAUUGUAAUCUAUUAGCAUAUCCCAAAUUUAUCAUAAAAUAUAACUUAUAGUUAUAUAUGAUAAAGUGCUGAUAGAUUUAUAUUAUUACAGAGCGUUAAUUUUUCGGAAUUUCGGAAUAUAAUGGCAUAAUUAUCAUUGAUUUUUGUGUUUAUUAUAUGCUCUUGUAUGAUUAACAAUGCGAAAGAUUCAGGAUACCUUCGGGACCCGUCUUGAAACACGGACCAAGGAGUCUAACAUAUGUGCAGUUAUUGGGAUGUAAACCUAAUAGCGUAAUUAACUUGACUAAUAAUGGGAUUAGUUUUUUAGCUAUUUAUAGCUAAUUAACACAAUCCCGGGGCGUUCUAUAUAGUUAUGUAUAAUGUAUAUUUAUAUUAUUUAUGCCUCUAACUGGAACGUACCUUGAGCAUAUAUGCUGUGACCCGAAAGAUGGUGAACUAUACUUGAUCAGGUUGAAGUCAGGGGAAACCCUGAUGGAAGACCGAAACAGUUCUGACGUGCAAAUCGAUUGUCAGAAUUGAGUAUAGGGGCGAAAGACCAAUCGAACCAUCUAGUAGCUGGUUCCUUCCGAAGUUUCCCUCAGGAUAGCUGGUGCAUUUUAAUAUUAUAUAAAAUAAUCUUAUCUGGUAAAGCGAAUGAUUAGAGGCCUUAGGGUCGAAACGAUCUUAACCUAUUCUCAAACUUUAAAUGGGUAAGAACCUUAACUUUCUUGAUAUGAAGUUCAAGGUUAUGAUAUAAUGUGCCCAGUGGGCCACUUUUGGUAAGCAGAACUGGCGCUGUGGGAUGAACCAAACGUAAUGUUACGGUGCCCAAAUUAACAACUCAUGCAGAUACCAUGAAAGGCGUUGGUUGCUUAAAACAGCAGGACGGUGAUCAUGGAAGUCGAAAUCCGCUAAGGAGUGUGUAACAACUCACCUGCCGAAGCAACUAGCCCUUAAAAUGGAUGGCGCUUAAGUUGUAUACCUAUACAUUACCGCUAAAGUAGAUGAUUUAUAUUACUUGUGAUAUAAAUUUUGAAACUUUAGUGAGUAGGAAGGUACAAUGGUAUGCGUAGAAGUGUUUGGCGUAAGCCUGCAUGAGCUGCAUUGGUACAGAUCUUAGUCGUAGUAGCAAAUAAUCGAAUGA
Drosophila sechellia is the source of this 1626-nucleotide ribosomal RNA. It matches the Rfam family "Eukaryotic large subunit ribosomal RNA", at positions 33 to 1478 of the family's 3401-position model. The record is from Rfam. NCBI's taxonomy places the organism in Eukaryota, Metazoa, Arthropoda, Insecta, Diptera, Drosophilidae.